CAAGUCGAGCGAGAAAGUGUAGCAAUACAUGAGUAAAGCGGCGCACGGGUGAGUAACACGUGGAUAACCUGCCUCAAAGUGGGGAACAACACCGGGAAACCGGUGCUAAUACCGCGUAUUCUGACGAGGUCUGCGGAUUUCGUCAGGAAAGGAGCAAUUCGCUAUGAGAGGGGUCCGCGGCUGAUUAGCUAGUUGGUGAGGUAAUGGCUCACCAAGGCCACGAUCAGUAGCCGGUCUGAGAGGACGGUCGGCCACACUGGAACUGAGACACGGUCCAGACUCCUACGGGAGGCAGCAGUGGGGAAUUUUUCGCAAUGGGGGCAACCCUGACGAAGCAAUGCCGCGUGGAUGAUGAAGUAUCUCGGUACGUAAAAUCCUUUCGACGGGGACGAAACCGCAAGGUUGACGGUACCCGUAGAAGAAGCCCCGGCUAACUCCGUGCCAGCAGCCGCGGUAAUACGGGGGGGGCAAGCGUUGUUCGGAAUUACUGGGCGUAAAGGGUGCGUAGGCGGUUCUCUAAGUCGGAUGUGAAAACUCUGGGCUCAACCCAGAGCCUGCAUCCGAAACUGGAGGACUAGGGUGCUGGAGGGGAAAGCGGAAUUCCUGGUGUAGCGGUGAAAUGCGUAGAUAUCAGGAGGAACACCGGUGGCGAAGGCGGCUUUCUGGACAGUAACCGACGCUGAGGCACGAAAGCUAGGGGAGCAAACAGGAUUAGAUACCCUGGUAGUCCUAGCCCUAAACUAUGGAUACUUGCUGUGGGGGGGAUUGAAGCCCCUUGUGGCGAACUAACGCAUUAAGUAUC
RNAcentral lists this ribosomal RNA (802 nucleotides) under uncultured Bacillota bacterium. Its description in RNAcentral is "bacterial SSU rRNA". It matches the Rfam family "Bacterial small subunit ribosomal RNA", at positions 58 to 868 of the family's 1533-position model. Lineage: Bacteria; Bacillati; Bacillota. The record is from RNAcentral.